GUAGGGAAUAUUGGGCAAUGGGGGAAACCCUGACCCAGCAACGCCGCGUGAGGGAAGAAGGCCUAACGGUUGUAAACCUCUGUCAUAUGGGAAGAAGGAAUGACAGUACCAUAUGAGGAAGCUCCGGCUAACUACGUGCCAGCAGCCGCGGUAAUACGUAGGGAGCAAGCGUUGUCCGGAAUUACUGGGCGUAAAGGGUGCGUAGGCGGCAUGUUAAGUUAGAUGUCAAAUACCCGGGCUUAACCCGGGGACGCAUCUAAAACUGGCGUGCUUGAGUGCAGGAGAGGAAAGCGGAAUUCCUAGUGUAGCGGUGGAAUGCGUAGAUAUUAGGAGGAACACCAGUGGCGAAGGCGGCUUCCUGGCACAAUACUGACGCUCAUGUGCGAAAGCUAGGGCAGCGAACGGGAUUAGAUACCCUUGUAGUCC
This 426-nucleotide ribosomal RNA is filed under the name uncultured bacterium. RNAcentral's name for it is "partial 16S ribosomal RNA". It matches the Rfam family "Bacterial small subunit ribosomal RNA", at positions 354 to 796 of the family's 1533-position model. The record is from RNAcentral.